GACGAACGCUGGCGGCGUGCUUAACACAUGCAAGUCGAACGGAAAGGCCUCAGCUUGCUGGGGUACUCGAGUGGCGAACGGGUGAGUAACACGUGGGUGAUCUGCCUUGCACUUCGGGAUAAGCUUGGGAAACUGGGUCUAAUACCGGAUAGGACAGCUGUUUAGUGUCAGUUGUGGAAAGUUUUUUCGGUGCAAGAUGAGCUCGCGGCCUAUCAGCUUGUUGGUGGGGUAAUGGCCUACCAAGGCGUCGACGGGUAGCCGGCCUGAGAGGGUGGACGGCCACAUUGGGACUGAGAUACGGCCCAGACUCCUACGGGAGGCAGCAGUGGGGAAUAUUGCACAAUGGGCGGAAGCCUGAUGCAGCGACGCCGCGUGGGGGAUGAAGGCCUUCGGGUUGUAAACUCCUUUCGACAGGGACGAAGCUUUUGUGACGGUACCUGUAUAAGAAGCACCGGCUAACUACGUGCCAGCAGCCGCGGUAAUACGUAGGGUGCGAGCGUUGUCCGGAAUUACUGGGCGUAAAGAGCUCGUAGGUGGUUUGUCGCGUCGUCUGUGAAAUUCCGGGGCUUAACUCCGGGCGUGCAGGCGAUACGGGCUGACUUGAGUGCUGUAGGGGAGACUGGAAUUCCUGGUGUAGCGGUGAAAUGCGCAGAUAUCAGGAGGAACACCGAUGGCGAAGGCAGGUCUCUGGGCAGUAACUGACGCUGAGGAGCGAAAGCAUGGGUAGCGAACAGGAUUAGAUACCCUGGUAGUCCACGCCGUAAACGAUGAGUGCUAAGUGUUAGGGGGUUUCCGCCCCUUAGUGCUGCAGCUAACGCAUUAAGCACUCCGCCUGGGGAGUACGACCGCAAGGUUGAAACUCAAAGGAAUUGACGGGGACCCGCACAAGCGGUGGAGCAUGUGGUUUAAUUCGAAGCAACGCGAAGAACCUUACCAAAUCUUGACAUCCUCUGACCCCUCUAGAGAUAGAGUUUUCCCCUUCGGGGGACAGAGUGACAGGUGGUGCAUGGUUGUCGUCAGCUCAUGUCGUGAGAUGUUGGGUUAAGUCCCGCAACGAGCGCAACCCUUAAGCUUAGUUGCCAUCAUUAAGUUGGGCACUCUAAGUUGACUGCCGGUGACAAACCGGAGGAAGGUGGGGAUGACGUCAAAUCAUCAUGCCCCUUAUGAUUUGGGCUACACACGUGCUACAAUGGACAAUACAAAGGGUAGCGAAACCGCGAGGUCAAGCAAAUCCCAUAAAGUUGUUCUCAGUUCGGAUUGUAGUCUGCAACUCGACUAUAUGAAGCUGGAAUCGCUAGUAAUCGUAGAUCAGCAUGCUACGGUGAAUACGUUCCCGGGUCU
Molecule: ribosomal RNA, 1341 nt
Filed under: uncultured bacterium
Lineage: Bacteria
Description: partial 16S ribosomal RNA
Rfam family: Bacterial small subunit ribosomal RNA
Source: RNAcentral